This is a long non-coding RNA of Magnolia sinica, 386 nucleotides long. RefSeq lists it as uncharacterized. The transcript is spliced from 2 exons. The record is from RefSeq and is a predicted model, not a curated record. NCBI's taxonomy places the organism in Eukaryota, Viridiplantae, Streptophyta, Magnoliopsida, Magnoliales, Magnoliaceae.
AAUUGGCCAUAACGGCCGAUAUGUCCCGUAACCGUAUCGGUAACGAUGGGCACCGUUAUGCUCACCGUUACCGCAAUCCUACGCCUUGAUUACAAUAGAACAUUUUGCAACAAACCUGAAUAACAAAUCUAGUUCUGGCCAUGGAAACCUAAUUCCACGGGGAAUUUCAUGGUAGUUUUUUUAUUGGUUCCUUCUUUGGGGUGAAAUGGGUAUUAUUGUCCUGCCAUUGGGCUACUAUAUGUUCAAGCCUAUUGCCAACACAUGAGGUGGCUAAAAGACAUUGAAGGACUGAAAAUCCUCGUGUCACUAAUUCAAAUCUGAUUCCGGCACAUGGUAAAAGUGAAAUAUGAAAAAAAAAAUGCUAUGUUUCAAGAAUCGAAAAUAAA